AAGUCAGUUCUGCAGAAAUGUAGAGAGCUGGCAAUAGUGAUGCCAUGUUACGAGCCUUAAGGACAGUUGAGGUCAUUAAGGUCCCUGAAAAUGGCUACAAUA
This 102-nucleotide small nucleolar RNA is filed under the name Jaculus jaculus (lesser Egyptian jerboa). Its description in RNAcentral is "Small nucleolar RNA SNORA33 (ENSJJAG00000009826.1)". It matches the Rfam family "Small nucleolar RNA SNORA33". From Rfam's summary of the family: ACA33 is a member of the H/ACA class of snoRNA that guide the sites of modification of uridines to pseudouridines. Lineage: Eukaryota; Metazoa; Chordata; Mammalia; Rodentia; Dipodidae. The record is from Rfam by way of RNAcentral.